UUUUAUUUAACUCCUUAUUUCGUUCUCCAGCCGAGGGUCUAUCAGAAUCAUACUCUCUGUCCUUCUAGGUAGGGGUAAGACUGCGUAUAUCUCACCCUCCCCAGAUUCCACUUUUGAAAAAAUAUUAGGCUUCUUGUUGUUAUUGUUGUUGUUGAAUUCUAUCAACUAAUUAUUAUUUCGCUAAUGAAUUUUGCUUUCAUCUAGCUUAUCAGGCAUACUGAUUCACAAAAUAAUCUUGCCUAAUUAUAUCAAGAUGUUAAGUGAAGAAACUAAGUGGGCGCUUGGACAUAAGAAUCGUAAAAUUUCGAAAUAAAGUAAUUUUUUUUAAAGUGAAAAUGAUAUUUGAAAAUUAGAGUUGUGUUUGGACAUGAAUAUAAUUUUGGGUUAUUUUUUAAUUUUUGUGAGUGAACUUAGUGAAGAUUUUGGAAAAAUAACUUUUUGGAGUUUUUAAAAAUUUUAAAAAAAUUCAAAAUUCAUCUUCAAAUAAAAAUUGAAAAUUUUAUAAUCAAAUAUUGAUUUCGAAAAAAAUUGAAAAACUUUUCAUGGCCAAACGGGCUUUAAAUUUAAGGCUGGGAAUGUUAAGUUCGCGAGCGAUAUCAGCCACCCAAUCGGGGAGGAAAUCAGCAAUGACCAAUCAGGUUUUUUUUUUAAUGUUUGUUUGAAGUGCGUGGUAAGUUAUCCCUAUAUGUAUGAAGUCAUGUUCUUGUUAGCUGCUGUUAAAGGGACACACACACACACACAUAUAUAUAUAUAUAUAUAUAUAUAAAAGACAAACAAUUUAUGUGGCUGAAACACAUAAAAUUGUUACUAUUAUAUACUCCUUAUGCCUUCUAGCCCUAUUUACCCAUCACUUUGACCUUUUUCACGUCCUUUUAAAAGUGUUAAUAAUUAAAGUUGUAUUUGAUUAGAUUUCCCUAUUUUAUUCUUUGAUCUCUCAAUCUCUUUAAGUCUGUCCUAGAAGAUUAAUUAGAAUAGUAAGGGUAAAUUUUGGAAUUAAUAUCCAAUUAUUUCUUAUUUAGAUAAAACUACUUUUAACAAAUGUGACAAAUAAAUAGGACCCGGGGGCAAUAAAUACACUUGUUUUAGUCCAAAAAGUUUCGUGCAUAGAGGAUUGUGCCAAGUGUGGCUACUACUAAUAGUAUAAAUUCAUGUAGGAAAUAUUGAGUGUUUCAUGUAAAUCCUAAUGUAAAAAAAAAUGGAUUUGGAUCGUGACAUGUUUCUAUAUAUAUAUAUUAAGAAGUAAUUUAAUUUUAAAUUUUUUAUUUAAUCUUUAAUGUGAUAAUUUAUAGUCAUACAAACGUCUAUGGCUUAUUUUAAGAUACUAAGUUUCAAAUAUUUUUCUCUGUUUCUUUGUUUCUGCAACUCGUUAACACCUCUCACAUAGCACCAUUAAAACGUGAAAGUGAAAAUUCAGUUCUUACAGUCCUACUGGUUUCAAAAAAGGACUAUGAAGCAGAUGCUUUAUUCUAUUAGCAAUUAAUCUUUAUAAUAAAUAUUGAUAAACUCCCUCUGCACCAGUUUAUGUAAUUUGUUUUUUUGUCCAUUCAAAAAGAAUCACCCCUCUCUAAAUUUGAAAAUAAUCUAACUUAAAUUUUUAAUUUUAUCCUUUUUAUAGCCACACAAAUUCUCUGAUAUGUUUAACACCACAAAUUUCAAAAGAAUCAUAGCCAUACAAAUAUUACGGCUUGUUUAAGAUCACAAAUUUAAAAAUUUUAUUUCUUUUUUAAACUGUUUGCAGUCAAAUAGAUUCAUAUAAAUUAAAAUGGAGAGAAUAGUAGCUAUCACAAAUAUAAGAAUUCUAAAAGUCUUUCCCUAUUCAUGAUCCAGGUAUUGAAAGUUUGAUUACAGAACACAAUUAUAUGUCCACCAACCACACACAAAAACUACAUGCCCACCAACCUCUUUCCAAUAUUUUUGAAAGAAAAGGGAUGGAGGGUAAUGCACUAAAUGAAUAUUGACAAACUUCACAAAAGGUGGUGGGCUCUCCUUUACGGUACCUACUAGCUACUGUACAUAAAACAAAGAAAAGAGGAGAUAUAUAUAUGGGGACCUCAAAAGAGGAGUGCAUGUGAACUAGUGCACGGAUUAGUGCAUGUGAACUAGUGCACGGAUUAGUGCAUGUGAACUUUCAUGGGCGGCUUCAAGCCAUGUCCCAUGACCCUUGGACGCGCCCGUGGCGUCCUGGUCAGCCUCCCAACGUCUAACGCUACGGUCGGUCCCGUGGUCUCGGCAGCUCCAAAUGACAAGUACGCAUAUGUCGUUGUCGCCCCACCGAUAGCCAUCACCAGUGCCCAGCCACAUGCAGAUACUAAAGACAAAGUUGCUGCCAACGGACUUGCUUCUAUUUUGUAGAAGACUAGGUCCUUUUCAUUGUAAAUAUAGAAUAGUUUUACUGUAUUUUCUUUUAGUAUGCUUCUACAGCUUAUUUAGGUCAAGUCAUGUAACUUUGGUUUAUUUUUUUUAAGCAUUAUUAAGGGGGACCAAGCAAUCAAACUUUCUAGCAAGCAAACAAUUCUCUGUACUGGUGUCUCUCUCCCCGACACCGUGUUAUUUUUCUGUAAUAGUUUUCAUUCAAUACAAUCAAGCUUUCUUUCAUUCUCAAUUCUCUUUUCUGCUCUCUCUCAAUUGCUCAUGACAUUGAUUUUCCCGUACGGCACUGACAAUCUAGUCUAGCGUACGGAGAGGACCUCAGUUGGCGGACAACAACCGUACUGACAUCGGUUGCUUAGCCUUACGUCGCCCUUCCAAGGAAUUUCAGGAAGGUGCUGCAUAAUAGUUGGUAUCAGAGCCUAGGCUCGACAUCGGACGAGGUAUUACAUUACAAUUACCACCAUUUCUGACCAUGGUGAAUUAUGGAGAUCGCAUCACGACCCUUGAGGGGACGGUUGACGCAUUUCGGCCCAUCGUGGAAAUUAUGCCUGACAUAAAGACCAGCCUAGUGCAAAGGUUGGACGACAUGGACCGCAGACUGGUCCAGGCCGAAGUUGACAUAGAAAACAUCAGUCGCGACUCUGAAGGAGACCGGCAAACGGCAGCCACAGAGGCAGCUGAAAGUUUUCUUAAAUUUGAGGCCCUCCAGCAGGAGCGUGCCGAGGAUUUAGCCAAUAGGGAACAAGAGGCAGACAUGGUGACUGCCAUGCAACAAACUAUAGACAACUUGACAGGCCAGCCCACGUUAUCAAUGCUUCUUUACAAGGCCUACUUCGAGGAGGCGGAAACCAAUUUGGGGGUGGUGUUAACCUCGCCCCUAUGGCACAAAAGCUGAAUAUUCCAGAGCCAAAGCCAUACAGUGGAGCUCGGAAUUCCAAAGAAGUGGAAAACUUCAUUUUCGAAAUCGAGCAAUACUUUGAUGUCGUGGGAGGCCUAGAAGAAGCUAAGAAGGUAGCAACUAUUGCCAUGUAUCUUCAGGGCGAUGCUAAAAUCAGGUGGCAGGUGAAAUACGAAGCCAUCAAUGCUGGUGAAGAUGCCCUCGAGACAUGGGCAGAACUGAACGUAGCCAUACGCUUAUAGUUCUUCCCCAAAAAUGUUGAGUACAAUGCCAGGAUAAAGCUACGGGAGCUCCGCCAGACCAAAUCAGUGCGAGAUUACGUGCGGAAAUUCUCUGCGCUCAUGUUGAACAUCCGUGACAUGGGGGACAAAGACAAACUCUUCACCUUCCUGGAAGGGUUGAAACCUUAUGCCCGCAUAGAGUUGCAGAGACAAAGGGUAGACACGUUACCUAAGGCGAUCCAAGCAGCAGAGUGCCUUGGGGAUUAUCAAGUGGAAGCCCGGAAGGAUAGGCCUCAACAGCCUGUCUGAGGAGGAUACAAAGGGGGCCAGCCAAACACUGGUGGCCCUAGCAGAAGUGGAGGAGACCAGAGUGCACCCAAAUCUAAGGCUCCCUCUUCAGGCAGUACUAGUGAUGCAUCUAACAACAAUGAUCGGGGGAGGAAGCCCCCCUCAGGAUACCAUCAUUGCGGUGGACCACAUUGGAAUAAUGAAUGCCCACAUGCACAGAUGAACACCCAUCAAGCUUUUGAGGAUGGGACGGAUGACGACGCCGAUGAUGCGGACCACACCGAACCAAUAGGUGCAUUCGAUACAAUUAUUGGCUCUAUUUCUGAGCCCUUAGCGGGAACCAGUACUGGUAUCCUCAAGAAGAAGGACCCAUGUCCAAUCGCCAAGAAAGGUAAAAAGAAGGCGAAUUAGAGGACUCCUCCUCAUCAAGAGAGGACCUUAAUGUUCGUCGACAUGAAGGUAAAUGGCAAGCCCAUUCAGGCAAUGAUAGACAUGGGUGCUACCCACAACUACUUAGCCUCAAAUCAGGUGGAGCGCCUUGGACUAGUUGUAGGAAAGGGUAAAGGUCGUGUGAAGGCUAUCAACUCACCACCUCAGCCAGUGGGUGGAAUAGCCAAAGAAGUACCAGUGAAGCUUGGCCCUUAUGAAGGAAAGUUCAACCUGCACGUAGUGAUCAUAGAUGACUUCGAGUUAAUAGUAGGGUUAGAAUUCCUAAGAUAGACCAACACCAUGACCGCACCGUAUGCAGACAUGCUACUGAUGAUGUGAGCAAAUGGGGCCAAGCCCUGCAUCAUUCCAUGCAUGCCCAUGAAAAUGGCCGCCAAGAACAUCUCGGCCCUGCAGUUGAAGAAGGGGGUCAAAAGACAUGAACCCACGUUCCUGGCUACCCUUUGCAUGGAAGAUAUAGAAUGCUCCUCGGGUCCCAUUCCUGCACCCGUGAAGGAGCUGCUACUGGAAUUUGAAGACAUAAUGCCAAAGUACAUGCCAAAGAGACUCCCGCCUAGGAACAUUGUGGACCAUAAGAUUGAGUUGGUGUCGGGUGCGAAGCCACCUGCCCGGGCGCCAAACAGAAUGUCACAACCCGAGCUCACCGAGCUUUGGAGAUAAUUGACGGAGAUGUUAGACACAGGGAUCACCGUUCCCUCCAAGUCCCCAUACAGGUCCCCUGUGCUAUUCCAAAAGAAACAUGAUGGCAGUUUACGACUAUGUAUGGAUUAUAUGGCUCUGAACAAAAUCACCGUGAAGAACAAGUACCCUAUUCCGCUAAUGGCGGAUUUGUUCGACAUCCUAGGUGGUGCGACGGUAUUCACCAAAAUAGACCUGAGGAUGGGUUAUUGGCAAGUUCGUAUUGUAGAGGGUGAUGAACACAAGACGACCUGCGUGGCGAGAUAUGGGUCGUUCGACUUCCUGGUUAUGCCAUUCGGCUUGACUAAUGCGCCAGCCCCAUUUUGCACCCUAAUGAACCAAAUCUUCCGGGAAUACAUUGCCAAAUUCGUCAUGGUCUAUUUGGAUGAUAUUGUGGUAUAUAGCCAGACAUUGGAAGAACACCUGGAGCAUUUGCGGAAGGUCCUAGCCCGAUUGUGGGAGCACGAACUAUAUGCGAAGCUAUUCAAGUGCUCCUUUGCUCAGAAACAAAUUGACUUCCUCGGAUAUGUCAUCGAGGAAGGGCGGAUCAAGAUGGACCAACAGAAUAUUCAGGCCAUCACAGAAUGGCCGCCGCCUAAGGAUAUCCACGCCUUGAGUUCGUUCCUUGGCCUAUGCAACUUCUAUCGGCGUUUUGUGAAAAGUUACUCCCUCAUUGCAGUGCCGUUGGCAGAACUUCGCAAAAAGAUCACACCCUGGGAUUGGGGUCCCAAGCGAGUAGAGGCCUUCAAUGCAUUGAAAAUGGCCAUGUCCAGUAGCCCCCUUUUGGCCCUCCCUGACUUGGCCAAGCCAUUCGAGGUACAAACGGAUGCCUCCGACUAUGCACUUGGUGGAGUCUUACUACAAGAAGGGCAUCCCGUAGCAUACGAGAGCCGAAAACUGAAAGAUGCGGAGCGGCGCUAUGCCGCCCACGAAAAAGAAUUAUUGGUUGUCGUUCAUUGCUUAUGCUUUUGGAGGCAUUAUCUACUGGGAACCCCAUUCAUGGUCAAGACAGACAACACAGUUGUUAGCCAUUUCAUGACCCAGCUAAAGCUGAAUAGUCGACAGGCUAGGUGCCAGGAACUCCUAGUAGAAUUUCACUUCAACCUGGAGUACCGAAGUGGGAAGACUAAUCAUGCUGCUGAUGCACUCAGUCGGAGGGCUAAUCUAGCAUCGGUGUGCAUACUCGCUGCCCUAAAGGGAAGCGAAGUAACAACCACCAUAAAAUACCAGAUACAGGAUCUACUCAUCAAGGAUCCCUCUGCACAGUAUUUGGUUGAUUUGGUAGGACAGGGCAAGAUUCACCAGUUCUACACAGAAGAUGGUUUCCUGAAAGUGAAAGGGAACCGACUUUAUGUUCCUAAAGGAGGGGAUACGCGAAGGACUCUUUUGGCGGAAUGCCACGAUACUUUGUGGGCCAAUCAUCCCGGUGAGUAACGCACCAUGGCAUUGCUUCACCGUGUAUAUUAUUGGCCUCAAAUGGUCGACGAUGUCACUCAGUAUGUGAAGACUUGUCUAGUAUGCCAGAAGGACAAGUCAGACCGCCUGACGCAGGCAGGACUCUUGGAACCACUAGCUGUCCCAAAAAGACCUUGGGAAAGCGUUUCCUUGGACUUUAUCACCAGAUUGCCCAAGGUCGAAGAUCUCACAACCAUCUUGGUUGUGGUUGAUCAGUUUUCUAAGUAUGCCACCUUUAUAGCAUCCCCACAAUAUAUAUCAACAGAAGAUACAACUCGACUCUUCUUCUCUCAUGUCAUCAAGUAUGCCACCUUUAUCGCGACUCACGCUUCACUAGCAACUUUUGUCCCAACUCUUUAAGUGCCUCGGGUCAAAAUUGAGUCAUAGCUCAAGUUUUCAUCCGCAAUCUGAUGGUUAGACUGAGCGAUUCAAUGGAAUGAUAGAGGAAUAUCUCCGGUACUUUGUAACCGGAUCGCAAAAGAACUGGAUGAAGCUUUUGGAUGCUGCUCAACUGUGUUUCAAUUCACAAAAGAGCUCAAGUACCAACAAAAGUGCUUUUGAAAUUGUUACCGGACAACAACCGCUACUCCCACAUACUGUGAACGCACCAAACAUGUCAAAAUCUCCUCGGGCUGCUAGCUUCUCAAAAGAAUGGAAGCAAAAUUUGGAGAUAGUGCGGAGCUAUCUUGUCAAAGCCCAAAAGCGGAUGAAGAGGCAUGCUGAUCGGAAUCGCCGCUUUGUUGAAUAUCAAGUGGGAGACAAGGUGAUGGUCAAAAUCCCAAAGCGGUACUUAUUUGCAGAGGUCUAUGACCCUCGCCUAUUGCAAAAAUACAUUGGACCUUUGUCCAUUGAAAAGCACAUUGGAAAAGUUGCAUACCGGGUGGAUACCCCAGUUUGGUGGAAAAUCCAUCCUGUUUUCCAUGUCAGUCUCCUGAAACCUUUUAGGGAAGUUAUGGAGGAUCCUUCACGAAGCCAACUCACAAUACCAAGCAUUCGAGGCCCCAAUUCAACCGGGAAAAGGCGUGCUGAAGCUAUUCUUGAUGACAGAGUGAUUCACGCCUCAAGGAAAGAUCACCAAGAGUUCUUAGUGAAAUGGCAGGGAUAUGAUGCAGAGGAGAAUACCUGGGAGAGGGGAACAAACCUCAAAGCCUACAAGGGCCUACUUGAUGAUUAUCUUGCAAGGAAGGCACCGAGGACGUCGCCAACUCAGGUGGGGGAGAAUGUCAUGGGCGGCUUUCCAGCCAUCCCCCAUGACCCCUUGGACGCUCCCCGUGGCGUCCUGGCAAGCCUCCCAACGCCUAACGCCAUAGUCGUCCCCGUGGUCUCGGCAGCUCUAAGUGACAAGCACGCAUUUGCCGUUGUCGCCCCACCGAUAGCCAUCACCAGUGCCCAGCCACAAGCAGAUACUAAAGACAAAGUUGAUGCCAACAGACUUGCUUCUAUUUUGUAGAAGACUAGGUCCUUUUCAUUGUAAAUAUAGAAUAGUUUUACUGCAUUUUCUUUUAGUAUGCUUCUACAUCUUAUUUAGGUCAAGUCAUGUAACUUUGGUUUAUUUUUUUUAAGCAUUAUUAAGGGGGACCAAGCAAUCAAACUUUCUAGCAAGCAAACAAUUCUCUGUACUGGUGUCUCU
RNAcentral lists this long non-coding RNA (7987 nucleotides) under Nicotiana tabacum (common tobacco). RNAcentral's name for it is "long non-coding RNA (NTAB_LNC008840)". The record is from RNAcentral. Lineage: Eukaryota; Viridiplantae; Streptophyta; Magnoliopsida; Solanales; Solanaceae.